RNAcentral lists this ribosomal RNA (385 nucleotides) under uncultured bacterium. Its description in RNAcentral is "bacterial SSU rRNA". It matches the Rfam family "Bacterial small subunit ribosomal RNA", at positions 29 to 416 of the family's 1533-position model. The record is from RNAcentral.
AUUGAACGCUGGCGGAAUGCUUUACACAUGCAAGUCGAGCGGCAGCGCGGGGCAACCUGGCGGCGAGCGGCGAACGGGUGAGUAAUACAUCGGAACGUACCCAGUUGUGGGGGGAUAGCCCGGCGAAAGCCGGAUUAAUACCGCAUACGACCUGAGGGUGAAAGGGGGGGAUCGCAAGACCUCUCGCAGUUGGAGCGGCCGAUGGCGGAUUAGCUAGUUGGUAGGGUAAAGGCCUACCAAGGCGACGAUUCGUAGCUGGUCUGAGAGGACGACCAGCCACACUGGAACUGAGACACGGUCCAGACUCCUACGGGAGGCAGCAGUGGGGAAUUUUGGACAAUGGGGGCAACCCUGAUCCAGCCAUUCCGCGUGAGUGAAGAAGGCC